GACGAACGCUGGCGGCGUGCUUAACACAUGCAAGUCGAACGGAAAGGCCCUGCUUUUGUGGGGUGCUCGAGUGGCGAACGGGUGAGUAACACGUGAGUAACCUGCCCUUGAUUUUGGGAUAACUUCAGGAAACUGGGCCUACUCCCGGAUAGGAGCUCCUGCUGCAUGGUGGGGGUUGGAACGUUUCGGCGGUUGGGGAUGGACUCGCGGCUUAUCAGCUUGUUGGUGGGGUAGUGGCUUACCAAGGCUUUGACGGGUAGCCGGCCUGAGAGGGUGACCGGCCACAAUGGGACUGAGAUACGGACCAGACUCCUACGGGAGGCAGCAGUGGGGAAUAUGGCACAAUGGGCGGAAGCCUGAUGCAGCAACGCCGCGUGCGGGAUGACGGCCUGCGGGUUGUAAACCGCAUUCGCCUGUGACGAAGCGUGAGUGACGGUAAUGGGUAAAGAAGCACCGGCUAACUACGUG
This 468-nucleotide ribosomal RNA is filed under the name uncultured bacterium. Its description in RNAcentral is "partial 16S ribosomal RNA". It matches the Rfam family "Bacterial small subunit ribosomal RNA", at positions 28 to 507 of the family's 1533-position model. The record is from RNAcentral.